GACGAACGCUGGCGGCGUGCUUAACACAUGCAAGUUGAACGGAAAGGCCCGCUUGGGGGUACUCGUGUUGCGUACAGGUGAGUAACACGUGAGUAACCUGCCCUUGACUUCGGGAUAACUUCAGGAAACUGGGGCUAAUACCGGCUAGGAAUCCUUGCUGCAUGGUGGGGGUUGGAAAGCUUCGGCGGUUUUGGCUGGACUCGCGGCUUAUCAGCUUGUUGGUGGGGUAGUGGCUUACCAAGGCUUUGACGGGUAGCCGGCCUGAGAGGGCGACCGGCCACAUUGGGACUGAGAGACGGCCCAGACUCCUACGGGAGGCAGCAGGGGGGAAUAUUGCACAAUGGGCGGAAGCCUGAUGCAGCAACGCCGCGUGCGGGAUGACGGCCUUCGGGUUGUAAACCGCUUUCAGCAGGGGCGAAGCUUGUGGUGACGGUACCUGCAGAAGAAGCACCGGCUAACUACGUG
RNAcentral lists this ribosomal RNA (465 nucleotides) under uncultured bacterium. Its description in RNAcentral is "partial 16S ribosomal RNA". It matches the Rfam family "Bacterial small subunit ribosomal RNA", at positions 28 to 507 of the family's 1533-position model. The record is from RNAcentral.